RNAcentral lists this ribosomal RNA (1019 nucleotides) under Myroides odoratimimus. RNAcentral's name for it is "bacterial SSU rRNA". It matches the Rfam family "Bacterial small subunit ribosomal RNA", at positions 37 to 1060 of the family's 1533-position model. The record is from RNAcentral. Lineage: Bacteria; Pseudomonadati; Bacteroidota; Flavobacteriia; Flavobacteriales; Flavobacteriaceae.
GAGCGGACGGGCUACCUGCAGUCGAGGGGUAGAAAGAGCUUGCUUUUUUGAGACCGGCGCACGGGUGAGUAACGCGUAUGCAACCUACCUUAUACAGGGGAAUAGCCCGAAGAAAUUCGGAUUAAUGCUCCAUGGUUUAUCGAUAUGGCAUCGUAUUGAUAAUAAAGAUUUAUCGGUAUAAGAUGGGCAUGCGUAUCAUUAGCUAGUUGGUGUGGUAACGGCAUACCAAGGCAACGAUGAUUAGGGGUCCUGAGAGGGAGAUCCCCCACACUGGUACUGAGACACGGACCAGACUCCUACGGGAGGCAGCAGUGAGGAAUAUUGGUCAAUGGAGGCAACUCUGAACCAGCCAUGCCGCGUGCAGGAUGACGGUCCUAUGGAUUGUAAACUGCUUUUGUACAGGAAGAAACCUCCCUACGAGUAGGGACUUGACGGUACUGUAAGAAUAAGGAUCGGCUAACUCCGUGCCAGCAGCCGCGGUAAUACGGAGGAUCCGAGCGUUAUCCGGAAUUAUUGGGUUUAAAGGGUUCGUAGGCGGCUAUAUAAGUCAGUGGUGAAAUUUCCUAGCUUAACUAAGACACUGCCAUUGAUACUGCAUAACUUGAAUAAUAUGGAAGUAACUAGAAUAUGUAGUGUAGCGGUGAAAUGCUUAGAUAUUACAUGGAAUACCAAUUGCGAAGGCAGGUUACUACGUAUUUAUUGACGCUGAUGAACGAAAGCGUGGGGAGCGAACAGGAUUAGAUACCCUGGUAGUCCACGCCGUAAACGAUGGAUACUAGGCUGUUCGGUUUUCGGACUGAGUGGCUAAGCGAAAGUGAUAAGUAUCCCACCUGGGGGAGUACGUUCGCAAGAAUGAAACUCAAAGGAAAUUGACGGGGGCCCGCACAAGCGGUGGAAGCAUGUGGUUUAAUUCGAUGAUACGCGAGGAACCUUACCAGGGCUUAAAUGUAGAUUGACAGAUUUGGAAACAGAUUUUUCUUCGGACAAUUUACAAGGGGGCUGCAUGGUUGUCGCCAGCU